CCAGCCUUGAAACAGAGCCUCGCUCCCCAUACUUUACUCGAACACACAGUGGACGAGCGAGCGUUCUUCUCCAACCUUCGAGUCCAAGGAUUAGUGAGCUUCUAAAAAAGCUGGUAUUCUAUACGAUCGAAGUCACCUCACGGAAUUUUUCCCAUCUAAAGGCCCCGCCUUUGGGAAGACGCCGCCUAGCUACCAGUCUUCGAAAACUUUGACAAGGAGAGCUAGCACUAAACAAAGAGAACAAAGAAAAGAAGAGAUUAGUGACAAAGAUGAAGGUUCUAUUGGUGAAAUGUGCUUACCACCUAAUCUCCAAGCGAGCGGUAUCUCAUCGGAACGAUGCUGAUAUCUCCCUCGAAUUUUCUAUUUCGAUGCGUUGAAGUUUUGGCGAUCUUCCAAAAAAUUGCUGGUGAACAGAACUAGAGAGAGCCCUGUCUCUGUUGUUAGU
Molecule: long non-coding RNA, 445 nt
Filed under: Selaginella moellendorffii
Lineage: Eukaryota; Viridiplantae; Streptophyta; Lycopodiopsida; Selaginellales; Selaginellaceae
Description: long non-coding RNA (SMOE_LNC001671)
Source: RNAcentral